Molecule: long non-coding RNA, 1375 nt
Filed under: Olea europaea subsp. europaea
Lineage: Eukaryota; Viridiplantae; Streptophyta; Magnoliopsida; Lamiales; Oleaceae
Source: RNAcentral
CUCAUCGGGGUCUUCCUCUGGGUCUUCUUCUUGGUCUUCUUCUAACGUGCUUUGCUCCGAUUUAUCUGGUAAUGGUACGGGAAAACUUUCAUCUAGAACUCUCGAAAAGCACUUAGCCAACGGUCCCUUAACUAGUUUAGAUUUGGUAGCUCGUAAACUGGUAUUCAUGGAUAAGGAUAUAGUCUUCUUAAAGUUUCGGUGUAAAUCACGGCUAAUCCCAUAGCUCUCUCGAAGCAAAUAUGUAAGGUCCUCAUACGAAAGGUCAUCAUCAGACCAUAACACAAUCUCAUUUAUGACUGAGGCCCAAGGUUCUGGAACAGUUUCAUAUAAUCUCUGUAUCUUCACCUUAUCCCUUAAACUAUGGUGUAUCUCCCAUAACAUCUCAAUAAUACAGUUUAACAGGUCCAAAUGUUGUUCGAGACUAUGGAGCGGAUGCAUACGAUAACUAUAGUAAAAUGCCAAUAAUAUGUCCCGCUUCUUCACAAAACCACAAGCUUCUGUCCUUGUGGGGGUUCUUACCAGUCGUGCCAUAACUAGGACAAACAUUGAUCAUAUUACUCUACAAGAUUCUCAUAAAUAUCUAGAUAUAGGUGUUUAUGACUUCAUAAUCUCAAUCAUGACUUGAUUAAAAAUAUUCCUAUAUCUAGCCAUAGAUAUAACAGUUCAUUACAUAAGAAAACUCAUGAAUUAAAAAUAAAUUUUACCUUGAUCGUUGGUUGAAAGUCAGUUGCUAGCUUCUUCGAUGAUUAAGGACAGUAACUUUCUUUUAAAAAGUCUACAGAAAAGUAAACCUUGCUCUGACACCACACUGUGACGCCCCGAACUUACGCUUCGAGGCUCACGUACUAAACAUAAUAGCUUCUGCCUUUGGUACAUGUAAAUACUCUUAAAUAGAAGUGUUACAUGUGAAAAACUUAUUUUCAACUUGGUAAAAUAAUUCUUAUAAAAUUUGAUGGCCGAUAGAAGUGCAUAUCGACAAGGAAUUAUGCUUCACAUAUACGGCCUUGGCACUGACAAGAUUAGUCGGGGCAGCAAGUUUGACAAUUUUUAUAAAAUUCAUCCCAACUCCAUUUUCUAUGAAAUUUGUGGCAUUAGAAAGAUAAUUUCAAUUAAUUUUCUAGAUUAAAAUAUGAAAAUUUUCCAAGAUCAUAUGAUAUAGACGUUUUACUGAAAACAGUGAAGUAUUACACAGGAAAUCCAGAUUGACCUUUAGACGUUAAAACCUUGAUAACUCAGGCCAUAGUUAUCCAAAUUGAGUGAUUCCUGUGGCCAUAUUUAGAAAACUCAAAGAGGAAAACAUACAUAUUUUUAGAGUUUCAAAUGGACGUUUAUAGAGUUAGAAACAUCGUUUUGAAAUUGACUCCAGAAACUGUCC